RNAcentral lists this ribosomal RNA (484 nucleotides) under uncultured bacterium. RNAcentral's name for it is "partial 16S ribosomal RNA". It matches the Rfam family "Bacterial small subunit ribosomal RNA", at positions 30 to 507 of the family's 1533-position model. The record is from RNAcentral.
AUUGAACGCUGGCGGCAGGCCUAACACAUGCAAGUCGAGCGGAUGAAGGGAGCUUGCUCCUGGAUUCAGCGGCGGACGGGUGAGUAAUGCCUAGGAAUCUGCCUGGUAGUGGGGGAUAACGUCCGGAAACGGGCGCUAAUACCGCAUACGUCCUGAGGGAGAAAGUGGGGGAUCUUCGGACCUCACGCUAUCAGAUGAGCCUAUGUCGUAUUAGCUAGUUGGUGGGGUAAAGGCCUACCAAGGCGACGAUCCGUAACUGGUCUGAGAGGAUGAUCAGUCACACUGGAACUGAGACACGGUCCAGACUCCUACGGGAGGCAGCAGUGGGGAAUAUUGGACAAUGGGCGAAAGCCUGAUCCAGCAAUGCCGCGUGUGUGAAGAAGGUCUUCGGAUUGUAAAGCACUUUAAGUUGGGAGGAAGGGCAGUAAGUUAAUACCUUGCUGUUUUGACGUUACCAACAGAAUAAGCACCGGCUAACUUCGUG